Small nucleolar RNA from Mercurialis annua (annual mercury), 87 nucleotides. RefSeq annotates it as small nucleolar RNA snoR114. The record is from RefSeq and is a predicted model, not a curated record. The transcript has a single exon. Lineage: Eukaryota; Viridiplantae; Streptophyta; Magnoliopsida; Malpighiales; Euphorbiaceae.
UAGCUGUGAGGAUAAAAGCGCUUUUGUGAUAGUUGGGUCUGUCACACUUGUCUGAUCUGAUGAUUGAAAAUCAGCGCAUCUGAGCUC